RNAcentral lists this non-coding RNA (50 nucleotides) under unclassified sequences. The record is from RNAcentral.
CCUGAUACCUUGCAGGGCCGCACAGUAAAGCGACCCUAUCCCAUAAACCA